CCUACGGGUGGCAGCAGUCGAGAAUCAUUCACAAUGGGGGAAACCCUGAUGGUGCGACGCCGCGUGGGGGCAUGAAGGUCUUCGAAUUUUAAACCCCUGUCAUGUGGGAGCAAAUUAAAAAGAUAGUACCACACGAGGACGCUACGUCUAACUCUGUGCCAGCAGCCGCGUUAAUACAGAGGUCUCCAGCGUUGUUCGGAAUCACUGGGCGUAAAGCGUGCGUAGGCUGUUUCGUAAGUCGUGUGUGAAAGGCGCGGGCUCGACCCGCGGACGGCACCUGAUACUGCGAGACUAGAGUAAUGGAGGGGGAACCGGAAGUCUCGGUGUAGCAGUGAAAGGCGUAGAUAUCGAGAGGAACACUCGUGGCGAAGGCGGGUUCCUGGACAUUAACUGACGCUGAGGCACGAAGGCCAGGGGAGCGAAAGGGAUUAGAUACCCCUGUAGUC
RNAcentral lists this ribosomal RNA (446 nucleotides) under uncultured bacterium. RNAcentral describes it as "partial 16S ribosomal RNA". It matches the Rfam family "Bacterial small subunit ribosomal RNA", at positions 338 to 795 of the family's 1533-position model. The record is from RNAcentral.